This is a non-coding RNA of Coffea arabica (coffee), 946 nucleotides long. Lineage: Eukaryota; Viridiplantae; Streptophyta; Magnoliopsida; Gentianales; Rubiaceae. The record is from RefSeq and is a predicted model, not a curated record.
CAAAAAUUGGGGUAUGCCACUAAGUGCAGCGAGCACACGGUAUUCUUUAGUAAAAGGCGAAAGAAUAGUUCGCUAUGUGCUCACUGCGUGGCUCCAUGACUGAUUAACUGCUAAGGAGGACUUCUAUAUACAAAGGAAGCUGGCUCUCGUCUGCUUCCCAGUUUCCAUGGAAAGGCGCAGAAAGUGCGAAUUAGCUGUGCUUCAGCACCUAUUCCUCUAGCUUACUGCUGCUUGUAUAAAAGCUUUGGACAGGGUUCAUAAUAUAAAACCAUGUAUUUCAUCCUGUAUAAAGGAUUGGAAGACAUCACAGCACAGGUCUAAAGCGUGUCGAUGUAAUAAAGGGGACAACUACAGAGGAGCUUGUCAACUACAGGGACCGCCAUUUUCCUGCUCAAUUUUGUUGCUUCACAAGUUAGAGUUAACGUGGUAAAUUCUGAAGAAGAAGCAGUUGUUUGGCAUUUAUUUCUUGAAGCAGUACAUCUUUUGGGGAGUGGAAUCCCUAUGCUACAAAGGUUCUUGAGAAUCCUCCUUGGCUUGUGAGAGUGGAAAUUCCUCGUGUAAAAGGAUGUGGUGAUAGACAAUGAAAUUUCUCCACAAAGCUGGUACCUCGGCUCAUACCACUUUGAAGCAGCCCGAGUUUUGAUUGUUGCAUUUGAAGGACAAUGUAAGAUGGAGAAACCAGAUAUUUUAUUCUGCUGUCACGUCUAAAGAGGGACGCACGGACACGGACUCCACGGUGCAACUUGAUGCAAGCCUCAACAUGGCUAGCAAAUCAUCGUGCGGACCAGAUUGCCAUAAUUCAGGUGAGAAGAGCUCAAAGGAACGCCCUUCUGCAACCAGUAACCUGGCCCAAGCAACAAUAUUGAAACCAUUUCCAUAUUCAGAGAAGGAAGGAUCAAGUGACUUCUUUCCUGACAGCAGUUCCAAGAGAACCACGCCGAAGCUA